This 70-nucleotide transfer RNA is filed under the name Dipodomys ordii (Ord's kangaroo rat). It matches the Rfam family "tRNA". Rfam says of the family: Transfer RNA (tRNA) molecules are approximately 80 nucleotides in length. Their secondary structure includes four short double-helical elements and three loops (D, anti-codon, and T loops). Further hydrogen bonds mediate the characteristic L-shaped molecular structure. tRNAs have two regions of fundamental functional importance: the anti-codon, which is responsible for specific mRNA codon recognition, and the 3' end, to which the tRNAs corresponding amino acid is attached (by aminoacyl-tRNA synthetases). tRNAs cope with the degeneracy of the genetic code in two manners: having more than one tRNA (with a specific anti-codon) for a particular amino acid; and 'wobble' base-pairing, i.e. permitting non-standard base-pairing at the 3rd anti-codon position. The record is from Rfam by way of RNAcentral. Lineage: Eukaryota; Metazoa; Chordata; Mammalia; Rodentia; Heteromyidae.
GGGAAUGAGGCUUAAUGAUAGAGUGCUUGCCUAGCAUGCAUGAAGCCCCGGGUUCAAUUCCCCAGUACCA